AUGCGGAACAAUGUUUUGCAAUUGGAUUGAGAACAACGUACAAACCUUAUCGAUAAACAAUUGGAGGGCAAGUCUGGUGCCAGCAGCCGCGGUAAUUCCAGCUCCAAUAGCGUAUAUUAACGUUGUUGCAGUUAAAAAGCUCGUAGUUGAAAUGAAGGGUAGUUGUGUAAUGAAUACAUUCGUGUAUUUUGUUAUUCUACUACCCUCCUUCUAAAUUCGAUAUAUGAGUAUUAAUUUACUUGUAUAUGGUUUUAGACGUUUACUGUGAGAAAAUUAGAGUGUUCAAAGCAGGCAUUUGCUUGAAUAUAUUAGCAUGGAAUAAUCAUGUAUGAUUUUCAUGAUGUAUUUGAUUGGUUUGGUUCAUGAGAAUAAGAUUAAAAGGGACAGUUGGGGGUAUUCAUAUUCAAUAGUCAGAGGUGAAAUUCUCGGAUUUAUGGAAGAU
RNAcentral lists this ribosomal RNA (442 nucleotides) under Blastocystis sp. Its description in RNAcentral is "SSU rRNA". It matches the Rfam family "Eukaryotic small subunit ribosomal RNA", at positions 483 to 936 of the family's 1831-position model. The record is from RNAcentral. Lineage: Eukaryota; Bigyra; Opalinata; Blastocystidae.